RNAcentral lists this ribosomal RNA (253 nucleotides) under uncultured bacterium. RNAcentral describes it as "partial 16S ribosomal RNA". It matches the Rfam family "Bacterial small subunit ribosomal RNA", at positions 524 to 776 of the family's 1533-position model. The record is from RNAcentral.
UACGAAGGGGGCUAGCGUUGCUCGGAAUUACUGGGCGUAAAGCGCACGUAGGCGGCUUUCUAAGUCGGGGGUGAAAUCCUGGAGCUCAACUCCAGAACUGCCUUCGAUACUGGAGAGCUCGAGUCCGGGAGAGGGGGGUGGAAUUCCCAGUGUAGCGGUGAAAUGCGUAGAUAUUGGGAGGAACACCGGUGGCGAAGGCGGCCCCCUGGACCGGUACUGACGCUGAGGCGCGAAAGCGUGGGUAGCAAACGGG